GAUGGAAGAACGUAGCGAAAUGCGAUAAGUAGUGUGAAUUGCAGAAUUCAGUGAAUCAUCGAAUCUUUGAACGCACAUUGCGCCCUUUGGUAUUCCUUAGGGCAUGCCUGUUCGAGCGUCAUUUGAAACCUCAAGCUCAGCUUGGUGUUGGGAGUCUGUCCCCGCCUCACCGCGGGGACUCGCCUCAAAAUCAUUGGCGGCCGGUACGUUGGCUUCGAGCGCAGCAGAAACGCGAACUCGAGGCCCGGCGGAUCGGCGACCAGAAGUCACUUCUUCACAGUUUGACCUCGGAUCAGGUAGGGAUACCCGCUGAACUUAAGCAUAUCAAUAAGCGGAGGA
This 339-nucleotide unclassified non-coding RNA is filed under the name soil metagenome. RNAcentral's name for it is "partial contains 5.8S ribosomal RNA, internal transcribed spacer 2, and large subunit ribosomal RNA". The stretch from base 5 to 121 matches the Rfam family "5.8S ribosomal RNA", at positions 38 to 154 of the family's 154-position model. The record is from RNAcentral.